Molecule: long non-coding RNA, 3386 nt
Filed under: Piliocolobus tephrosceles (Ugandan red Colobus)
Lineage: Eukaryota; Metazoa; Chordata; Mammalia; Primates; Cercopithecidae
Description: lncRNA (ENSPTEG00000015399.1)
Source: RNAcentral
AUUUUUUUAAAAACCAUUUAACCAUAUCACACACGUUUACACACCCCGCAUAAUGUUCUUUGUAUAUUUCAACUUAUCACUCGUUUACGUGAACACAUUUGUAUACCACACAUACAAUUUUGUACAACCGCAUAAGCUACUUAACUCACACGAAGAAGAUGGACAAAUCAGAUAAACUGUUCAUUUUAAAACUGUUCAAACUGAAGAACGGGAAUUUAGACCUCUUAAAAAAUAGGAUUACGCAUUUUAGUAUUAACAACAAGUGCAUACAUAUCGUUUUAUGUAACAAUACUUUAAUAAAAUACUAUAUCGAACAAAAUGAGUUAUCGUAUAUAGAUUUUUAUAACAAGAAAACAACAAAUAAUAAAGCUGAAAUAAGAUCUAUUUUUUUUGAUAAUAACUGUUAUCAUGGGUUUAUAUGUUUAGCAAAUAAAGAAUAUAUUUAUGUUCAUUUUGAGAAUAAUAUAGUUCGAAAUUUACUUCAAUUAAAAAAAUAUAAUAUCACGAGUGUAUGCUUUAAUAAACAUACCGAACUAAAAAAUACAUUACCAUUUUUAAUAAGCACAAAAGAUGGUAAGAUUUUAGAAAUGUUUAUAAUUAAUAAAACAAAAAAUAUUAAAGAACCUGAUGUCAUUUUUUCGAAUGAAAAAAUAACUAUUUUAGACAUGAAGAUGGUUGAUAUAAAACCGAAUAGCCAAAACGAUAACGAAAUAAUUCGAAUUAUUUAUUUUACUACACCAAAUAGUUUACAUGAAAUUAGUUAUACCGUGCAAAAUGGAAAUAAAAAUGUAGAAAAAGGGGAACAAAAGGGAGAUUUCCCUUUAAACAAUGCACAAACACAAGUGCAACCACGCACAGAUGAAAACACAGACAUAAAUGCUCAAACUACUACGUACACUACAAAAUAUACAGAACAAACCAAAGUGUACGAAUGUCCUGUUGAUUCUUUAUGCUCUAUUAUACGAAUUGAAAAUAUUGGAAACAAAGAAUAUUUAUUUUGGCUAAAUGGUUGUUCUAUAUUGAUCAUCCCAAUUAAUAAUUAUAAAAAAAAAAAAAAUAAAAAUAUGCUAAACCUAUGUAAAAUGGAGAAAAAAUAUGAAAGAAGUGUCAAUACGAUCGGCUCGUUAUCUUCUUCGAAUAGUUCUUCUUGUUUUUCAAGCGAAUCUGACCAAUGGAAUGAUGAUUUGUUUUUUCUUAGUGAUCAAAAAAAGAUAAGCAAUAAUGAAAAAAAGAAAAAACAAAAAAAGACAGACAGAAGCGGUAAUGAUUAUAAUAACAAAUCGGUUGUACAAAAAAACAGAACUUACAUGAGUAAUCAUUAUUAUACUAAAAAUAUAAAUACAGAUGAAGAAAACAAAAGCAACAAAAGUAACAAAAGUAACAAAAAUAAACAAAGCAAUAUUAAAAAUGUUAAUAGUUCUAAUAAUGUAUAUAACUUUGAGUACUACUUAGAUAGUAAUUACAUUAUUGUGAAUUUUUUAGACUUACAAAUAUAUACGAAUGAAAACAUCAAUAGCUUUUCUUUUAUCAAGUAUUUUUACGAUUCUAUGCAUAACAAAAGUGAUAAACUGGAAAAUAACAACCCACUUGAGUUAACAUUACAAAAAGAAACAAACAAAAAAAAUAAUAAAAAAAAAAAAAAAAUUGAUACGUCCAAAAAUAAUGAUCAACAAAAUGGUACUACUUCCACUUCUAACCUUCCCCAUGAUAAAACUAUUAAUCAUAUAAAAGCUACUUCUAAUGAAAGCAUUUUUUCAACAAAUGUUAAAACUAUCACAAAACAUGAACCGACAACCAUAUCUGUUGUGGUUGACAUGUGUAUUCAACAUCCUUAUAUUUUUGUUUUAUUAGAAGAAAAAAUAAUUAUUAUUAAUAGUAAUAAUUUAAAAAAAGUAUAUGAACAAAUGUUAAACGUUGAAACGUAUGGUAAUGUAAUACGUAUAAUGAAAAAUAACUUGGACAAUCAAGUAUGGUUAUGUACAUCCAAAUAUAUAUUUAAAAUCGUAAGAAACAAAAAUAAAAAGGACUCUAUAAAUAUGAAUUUAUUUAAAAAACAAAAUUAUGAACAAAUCACACAAUUAACCACAGAUAGCCAAAAAAUGAAAAUAAAAAAAAUAUUGUUACACAAUAAUAAAUAUAGUAUAAAUAAAUAUAAAUAUACCAAUAUAAACACAGAAGAAAUAUUAAUAUCAUUUUUACAUAAAAAACAGUAUUUUCUAUUAUCUAAAUAUUUAUAUAAUAACAUACAUUGUUAUAAUAAUGUUUUACGUAUUGCUAUAUUCAUUUGGCUUAUUCAGUUAUAUGUAUAUUCCAUCGAUUUAUAUGCAUAUCUAUAUACCAAUAUCACAUACUGUUUUAAAAGAAUGAACCAAAAUUACCAUACUAGUAUAAAUUCUCAUCAUCAUUUAAAAAAUAACCAAUAUUAUAAUAACUUUUCAAAUCAGUUGAGUAAAACUUGUACAAAUUCAUAUAACAGUUUGGUCAAACAGGAAAAAAUGCAAACUGCCUCGCCAGAUGACACGAACUAUUCGCCAGAUGACACGAACUACUCGUCAGAUGACACGAACUACUCGUCAGAUGACACGAACUACUCGUCAGAUGACACGGACUAUUCUUCAGGCAAUACGGAUAAUUCACCAAACGGUACGGAUAAUUCACCAAACGGUACGGAUAAUUCACCAAAUGAUACGGAUAAUUCACCAAAUGAUACGGAUAACUCUUCAGCUAGUAAAAACCACACGUCAUCCAAAUUACUCAUCACAAACCAACUCCUCAAUGAAACAGAUGAAUCGAAACAUAAUGCACAACGUGUUUCAAAAAAGUCAGACGAACAUACAUACAUACCAAAUGGUUUUCUAACAGAAUCAUCAAAAAACACCUCAUCCAUAAUGAACGAAAAAAAAGAAUACAUAAAACCAAAUAAAAAUAAACAAACUAUAUAUAUCACUAAUCAAGAAAAAAAAAAAAAUAUAUCACAUAAUAUAUCACAUAAUAUACCACAUAAUAUAUCACAUAAUAUACCACAUAAUAUAUCACAUAAAAUAUCACAUAGUACACGCUAUAAUAAUAAAAAAAACAAACCAACUAAUGAAGACGAAGACCUGAAUAGUAAUAAUACCAUUACUCUAAAACAUAAUGAUAGUAAAACCAACUUUUUACACAAUAGCACUAGAAAAAAGACAAACAGAAGUAAAUUUUUACACAGUAAUAAUAAAACUACUUUUAUUAACUUUUUUGAAAAUUUGAUUGAUAAGGAUGAAAAAAAAGAAAACAAAUAUAAUUUUGAUUUUACUGUAGGAAAAAAAAUUAAUAUAAAAACAUUAGUAAAAAGUGAAAAUUUUUAUAUAUUAUUAAUGCUAUAUAGAAUGAAAAAUAAUGAAAUAUUU